Molecule: long non-coding RNA, 2101 nt
Filed under: Anthonomus grandis grandis
Lineage: Eukaryota; Metazoa; Arthropoda; Insecta; Coleoptera; Curculionidae
Description: uncharacterized LOC126749542
Source: RNAcentral
CACACUUCGUUUACAUUAUUUAAUAAAGAAGUAUGGCGCUUUUGACUCCGUGGUUCCGUUAAAAGGUUUUAAUCCGGGUUAGUGCUUUUAUUAUUAAUAGGAACGAAAGCGAGCUGAUCCUGGAGUCCCUGCAAUCCUUCUCGAAACUCCUGAACAGUUUGCCAGGGUUCAAAUUCAGUUCCUUUCAAGUUACCGGAGCAGUGAGGAUCAAGUUGCUAUUCGGUCAAGAGGAUCCAGGUCUAAGGAGAUCCUCGAUCCAGUUAUUAGGAGAUCUGGCAACAUCCCUUGGCCAGGAGACCAAUUUUGAGGCAUUCAAGGAUCGAGUGAGAUCCAAGGGAACCUCAUCACUUUACUCUUGCAUCUAUGCAAUCCAGACGUGUAUGUUGUCAAGGCCUCUAAAAGUACAAUCCAGAAGGUUGGCCCUUAUCUGGAUUUUCCGGAGGUAUACCGCAUGAUCCAGGAGUGUUUGGGCGACGACACCGACUUGAUGUUCACGGAUUUUAUUAAGGAGUUAAUUAAACGCAUAGGAUUUAUGGAAUCAAUGAUAUCAAGGUUACUUGGGGAUCAAAUCGAGGACGAGUUGGUUUAAUGGUGGUGUCUAAGCGCCAAUCCCGCCCUUGUCACCGGUUUUUUCUACGCCAAACUACUAAAGUUUCACUGGAAACUGUCUGCGAUAAACUGAUUAGACUGAUGCAAGACGAGUCAGAAGAAGUUAGGAUUAAGGCAAGUCAAGCUAUAUCGUGUUUGUUUUUAUAAUUAUUUAUUUUUAAUUUUUACAACGGGGCACCUUGUACGUAAUAAUAAAAAACUAAAAAAAUUGUAGUUUUUGAAAAAAAAAACGAAAUUUCGGUUUUUUACCAUUAACAUGUACUUUAUAAGUUCGUAAAUUUUGCAUAACUUUUUUGGUAUUUGAGAUAGAGCUUUCAUUUAAAAACUGUCAAAUACUCCUUGCAAAGGGGCACCUUGUACGUAAUAAUCAAAAACUAAAAAAAUUGUAGUUUUUGAAAAAAAUCGAAAUUUCGGUUUUUUACAAUUAACAUGUACUUUUUUAGAUCGAAAAUUUUGCAUAACUUUUUUGUUAUUAAAGAUAGAGCUUUCGUUUAAAAACAGUCAACUACUCCUAGCGAAGGGGCACCUUGCACAUAAUUAUCAAAAUUUAAAAAAUUAUAGUUUUUGGAAAAAAUCGAAAUUUCGGUUUUUUACAAUUAACAUGUACUUUUUUAGAUCGAAAAUUUUGCAUAACUUUUUUGUUAUUAAAGAUAGAGCUUUCGUUUAAAAACAGUCAACUACUCCUAGCGAAGGGGCACCUUGUACAUAAUUAUCAAAAUUUAAAAAAUUAUAGUUUUUGAGAAAAAUCGAAAUUUCGGUUUUUUACAAUUAACAUGUACUUUUUUAGAUCGAAAAUUUUGCAUAACUUUUUUGUUAUUAAAGAUAGAGCUUUCGUUUAAAAACAGUCAACUACUCCUAGCGAAGGGGCACCUUGCACAUAAUUAUCAAAAUUUAAAAAAUUAUAGUUUUUGAGAAAAAUCGAAAUUUCGGUUUUUUACAAUUAACAUGUACUUUUUUAGAUCGAAAAUUUUGCAUAACUUUUUUGUUAUUAAAGAUAGAGCUUUCAUUUAAAAACUGUCAAGUACUCCUUGCAAAGGGGCACCUUGUACGUAAUAAUCAAAAACUAAAAAAAUUGUAGUUUUUGAAAAAAAUCGAAAUUUCGGUUUUUUACAAUUAACAUGUACUUUUUUAGAUCGAAAAUUUUGCAUAACUUUUUUGUUAAUAAAGAUAGAGCUUUCGUUUAAAAACAGUCAACUACUCCUAGCGAAGGGGCACCUUGCACAUAAUUAUCAAAAUUUAAAAAAUUAUAGUUUUUGAGAAAAAUCGAAAUUUCGGUUUUUUACAAUUAACAUGUACUUUUUUAGAUCGAAAAUUUUGCAUAACUUUUUUGUUAUUAAAGAUAGAGCUUUCAUUUAAAAACUGUCAAGUACUCCUUGCAAAGGGGCACCUUGUACGUAAUAAUCAAAAACUAAAAAAAUUGUAGUUUUUGAAAAAAAUCGAAAUUUCGGUUUUUUACAAUUAACAUGUACUUUUUUAGAUCGAAAAUUUUGCA